GCUAGCGUAGCUUAAAAAAAGUAUGGCAUUGAAGAUGCUAAGACGAGCCCUAGAAAGCUCCGCAUGCA
RNAcentral lists this transfer RNA (68 nucleotides) under Triplophysa zhenfengensis. RNAcentral's name for it is "tRNA-Phe". Lineage: Eukaryota; Metazoa; Chordata; Actinopteri; Cypriniformes; Nemacheilidae. The record is from RNAcentral.